Molecule: long non-coding RNA, 1660 nt
Organism: Felis catus (domestic cat)
Lineage: Eukaryota; Metazoa; Chordata; Mammalia; Carnivora; Felidae
Exons: 7
Source: RefSeq, a predicted model, not a curated record
ACCUGUCCCGACAAGCACGCUGCGGGGCCAAGUGCGGGCAGCCUGCGUCACGCGCCAGCCCCCGCCUCCCGCGGCCGGAACCCGCGUGGCCGCGCCGAGUGGACGGCGCGGCCUCCAGUUAACCCGCGCGGCGCGGUGACCCUGUUGCCCCUGCCACCCCGGGGCACCCCAGUGGAAGCAGCCACGCAAACGGGCGAUGACCGCACAGAGGCAAACCCGCCACCCCAGACUCCGGGGUCAGGGGCAGGAGCCCCCCCACGGCUGGAGAAGUCGGCCAGGCCACCAUCCCCCACUAGCUGCCACCUCGCGCACCCUCCUCACUUUGACCUACAGGAUAUGGGAUUGCUGUCUCCAAAAAGUAACUUCUUCAAGGUCAGAAUCUUGGCAGUCUUCUUCCUGGUUGAAUCUUUAAAAAGAUAGGCUCCAUGCCCAACGUGGGGCUGGAACUCAGGACCCCAAGAUCAAGAAUCACAUGCUCCACAGACUAGGGCAGCCAGGUGCCCCUGCACUUUGAUUUUUAACACCUUCCAGACUUUUAGGAAAACUGCCGUUUGGAAACAGAGCCCGGCUGUGGCCUGUGGGGGCACCAGGGAAGUUGUUGGCUGAGCUGAGGAUAAACACCAGCGAUUCUAUUCUCAGUGACUGACUUCAACAUUAAUGCCAAUGCUUAUGACCGGAAAUCAGAUGAUGCAACGCAAAGCAGGAGCCUCAGAUUUUCAGAUGACAUGGGGCUUCAGGUGACAGCCAAGCCACUGGUUUGCCAGCCUGGAUGGGUGCAGCCCUGAGAAGGACCUGCAUCCCUCCUGUCCACGUGGGGGCGCGCUCCGGCUCAGCCUGGAAACGCAGGGAGCUGAAGUUCCAACGUUACACGCAUCAGUUGGGGGUUGAGGCCUCAGUCUCUCCGCCCAGCACCCAGCCCCCUGAUCUGUAGCCUGCAUGGUCCCUCAGGUGACUGCACCAGCCCCGGUUAAGCUGACCGCCAGCGGCACACGGCACAAACCUGCUGGGUUCCUCAAGAGAACCCUCUGCUGGUCCUUCUGCGAGCCCUGUCUCAUUUCACGCCCUCACAGAGCUUCCUGGAAUCACCUCCUGGGGCGGUGAUGAGACUCCAUUACCAGUGAGCUCAGGCAUCUUUUCAAGUGUUCAUAAGGACUGUUUCCGCAUCAUCUUCUGUGAGUGGAAUCUUCUAUGAGAAUCUGUGGAUAUUUAACGUGUCUUCCUCAGAGCAUCCUAAUUCCAUCCGGUAGUGGCCACUUGUGUUCUGUUUUAUCAGUCUCCUGUGAAGUCAGAUUCACAGCCUUUGACCUAAAGGAAGCCAACAGGUGAACUCCUCUGGGCCAUGCUGAUUGGUUGAGGACAGGGCUCAUGACCCAUGAAGGGUCAGCCAGAGAAAACAAGUCCCCAUUCCUUGAUGUCUUUUCAAGCUAUUGGACAGAGAAACUCUGCCUUCCUCUACAUUUGAUUCAGUGAAGUGGCCAUGUAACACCCAGAGGAGCCAGGAAAUGAAACCCCACAGAGAAGGCAAAGAUGAUGAAUGCAGAGAUUCUGAGUCCGGAUGGUAUUAUCUGAGCUGCUGGGUCCAGCCUCGUCCAGAGACAAACUACGCUUGAAUUCCCUGGUGGUGUAUAAAUGAAUACAUUCUUUGUUUCAAUUAUCCUUA